UGGGGAAUAUUGCACAAUGGGCGCAAGCCUGAUGCAGCCAUGCCGCGUGUGUGAAGAAGGCCUUCGGGUUGUAAAGUACUUUCAGCGGGGAGGAAGGGAGUAAAGUUAAUACCUUUACUCAUUGACGCUACCCGCAGAAGAAGCACCGGCUAACUCCGUGCCAGCAGCCGCGGUAAUACGGAGGGUGCAAGCGUUAAUCGGAAUUACUGGGCGUAAAGCGCACGCAGGCGGUUUGUUAAGUCAGAUGUGAAAUCCCCGGGCUCAACCUGGGAACUGCAUCUGAUACUGGCAAGCUUGAGUCUCGUAGAGGGGGGUAGAAUUCCAGGUGUAGCGGUGAAAUGCGUAGAGAUCUGGAGGAAUACCGGUGGCGAAGGCGGCCCCCUGGACAAAGACUGACGCUCAGGUGCGAAAGCGUGGGGAGCAAACAGG
RNAcentral lists this ribosomal RNA (429 nucleotides) under Chloroflexota bacterium. Its description in RNAcentral is "Chloroflexi bacterium partial 16S ribosomal RNA". It matches the Rfam family "Bacterial small subunit ribosomal RNA", at positions 355 to 776 of the family's 1533-position model. The record is from RNAcentral. Lineage: Bacteria; Bacillati; Chloroflexota.